GCCGAGGUGUCAGAGUGGCUAUGUGACCGGCUGCAGACCGGUUUAUGGGGGUUCGAAUCCCUCCCUCGGCU
Thermoplasmatales archaeon is the source of this 71-nucleotide non-coding RNA. The record is from Rfam. Lineage: Archaea; Methanobacteriati; Thermoplasmatota; Thermoplasmata; Thermoplasmatales.